CUAAGUUUGAUGGCGACCGGCGCACGGGUGAGUAACACGUAUCCAACCUGUCGAUGACUCGGGGAUAGCCUUUCGAAAGAAAGAUUAAUACCCGAUGGCAUAGUUCUUCCGCAUGGUAGAACUAUUAAAGAAUUUCGGUCAUCGAUGGGGAUGCGUUCCAUUAGGUUGUUGGCGGGGUAACGGCCCACCAAGCCUUCGAUGGAUAGGGGUUCUGAGAGGAAGGUCCCCCACAUUGGAACUGAGACACGGUCCAAACUCCUACGGGAGGCAGCAUG
This 275-nucleotide ribosomal RNA is filed under the name uncultured bacterium. RNAcentral's name for it is "partial 16S ribosomal RNA". It matches the Rfam family "Bacterial small subunit ribosomal RNA", at positions 79 to 353 of the family's 1533-position model. The record is from RNAcentral.